Molecule: long non-coding RNA, 1184 nt
Filed under: Monodelphis domestica (gray short-tailed opossum)
Lineage: Eukaryota; Metazoa; Chordata; Mammalia; Didelphimorphia; Didelphidae
Description: lncRNA (ENSMODG00000049808.1)
Source: RNAcentral
AUGUUUUAUUCUCUGUCUCUGUCUCUCUGCUCUCUCUCUCUCUGCCUCUCUCUCUCCCCCCCUCUCUCCCACCUCUCUCCACCUCUCUCUCUCUCCCCCCUCUUUACCUCUCUCUCUUUCUCUCUCUCUCUUUCUCUCUCUCUCCUUCUCUCUCCUUCUUUCUCUCUCCCUCUCUCUUUCUCUCCUCUCUCCUUCUUUCUCUCUCUCCCCCCUCUCUCUUUCUCUCCUUCUCUCUCCUUCUUUCUCUCUCUCCUUCUCUCUCUCUCUCUCUCUCUCUCUCUCUCUCUCUCUCUCUCUCUCUCUCUCUCUCUCUCUCUCUCUCUCUCUAUCUCUCUCUCUCUCUCUCUGCUGUCCCCUCUCUCUGUGUCUCUCUCUCAUCCUCACUUCUCUUUCUCUCACAUCGCUGUCACCUGUUAUCUUUUUAUAUUUUAUCAUCUACCAUUAUUCUGCCUGUCAUUUAUCCGUCUAUCUGAUGGAGAGAAAAAUCUUUUUAUUCUGCUGAUAUAUAAUUAGAGAGGAAGAAUGGUGCUUUGGAAAGAGGUGUUGGACUUGGAUUUGCUCAAAGAUUUAGGGCAAAAUAUGCCUCUCAGUAGCCAACUGUUCUAAUCUCCUGUUUUGACAGAUAAAGCAACUAAGGUUCAAGUAAACUAAGUGACUGAAUUGCCUACAGCUAAUAAGAAGCAGAGCCACUCUUAAAAUGCUGGACCAGGGAUUGGAUGUCUUAAAUUCAAAUCUCAGCUCCUUCAUUGACUUACUCUAUUACCUUUUGUAAAUAGCUUCAUUCCUCUAUAAUUUCUCUUUCUAUAGAAUAGAAAUUAUAAUGAUUGAAUUGCCUCCCUCACAAAAUUGUGAGAUUAGUACUAUAUACAACCCUAUAUAAAUUUUAACUAUUUAAAAAUAAUAAUUCAAUACUUGAAGGGACUCCUGUAUAGUUUUUUUCUUCCUGGGGUACAUAUAAAAACUUAGCCACCCCAUUUUAUUAAAUUAUCAAAUUAGCUUUAAAUACAUGAGUGGUAUUUGUUCCGCCUUUGUUGUCCGCCCCCCCCCCCCUUUCUCUAUGUGUGUGUGUCUCUCACUCCUUUCAAAGUAGGAAGAAAGGGGUUUGGAAGUCAUCCUUGGUGGGCAUUGAUUCAUAAGAACAUACUUCAACAGAGAAAAUAAAAAUCCUCAAAGGUAUAGAUGCA